AAACCAAACAAGGUUUGUUUUUUAUUUUUUGAUGCGUGAAAUCGUAGUGAUAUUGGUGUAAGAAAUAGUCUCGAGCCUUCAUGUUCGUUUAUUUUGCCCUGUGAAACUUUUCUUGCCUUAGUGUUUGUUUCAGUUAUUGGCGAAGUGUAAAUGAUGCAAUUAGUAUUAUAUGUAGUUUUAUGGUUGCUGAGAAAGUAUGAAAAUAGAAGUGAAAUUGAAGUUUUUAAUCUUAUGAGUUUCUUUUCUUUGUUUAGAGAAAACCCAUUACAGCUAAUUAGCCCCAUGUAAUUGUUUGGAUUAUUUGAGUUUUUCGUUAAUA
RNAcentral lists this unclassified non-coding RNA (319 nucleotides) under Hevea brasiliensis (rubber tree). The record is from RNAcentral. Lineage: Eukaryota; Viridiplantae; Streptophyta; Magnoliopsida; Malpighiales; Euphorbiaceae.